This is a long non-coding RNA of Haemorhous mexicanus (house finch), 2212 nucleotides long. RefSeq lists it as uncharacterized. The record is from RefSeq and is a predicted model, not a curated record. The transcript is spliced from 2 exons. NCBI's taxonomy places the organism in Eukaryota, Metazoa, Chordata, Aves, Passeriformes, Fringillidae.
UGGUUUUUUGGGUUUUUUUGGUGAUUAGUUGAGCUCCUUCUCCCCAUAGGAUUUAUUCCUUUUUUGUGUCCUGGGUGUUUUGUAGCUGCUAAACUUGGGGGAGAGGAGAUUUCCUGGGGGGUUUGGGGAUGGAGGAAUCCCCAGGAAGCAAAAAAAAACCUGAAUUAAUUCACCUCUGAUGUCACUGUGGGAGGAAUGGAAGUGGAAAAUCACCAGACUGGGGAGGCCACACUGAAAUUCCAAGGGUGGAAUCUCAGGAGAGACCCACAGAGGGGUCAGGGAGGGAUCAGCAUCUCCAGGAGGAGGAGCUUCUUCAAACCAAAAAUGGGAAAAUUCUGGAAAAGAGGGGAUUUGGUGAAUCCCCCUCCCACAGGAGCUGCAGCAGCGAUGAUGGUCUGGCCAUGGGGGGUGGGGGUAAAUUCCUUUUCAUUCUGGAUUCCUCCUGGAUUUCUCACUCCAGCCAAGGCUCAGGCACGGAGCUGCUGCAGGAUGUUGGAAAUCUGACUGAAAAUCGGGAUCUUCAGGCAGAAAAUGUGUUUUCUGUGAGGUUUUUUUUUGUCCUUCUGAAUUCCAGGUGGAACUGUCAGCAGUGAAUUUGUACAGAUCCUUCCCCAAAGGAACUCCCCUCCCUCUCACCUCCUUUCACUUUAAUACUUGAUCCAAUAAUAUUUUAACAAUUUAAUUUUAUUUUAAUGGUAGGAAUUUCAGAGGUGCAAAGGCUCUUUCUAAAUUUAUUGACUUGGAGAAAAAAAAAAAAAAAAACAAAAAAAACCAACAAAAAAACCCCCAUAAAUACUCAUCUUGAUCUAGAUGAAUUCCUUAUUUUUGCACCAGAACCCCCAAUUUUUUUGCAGUAUAAAGUGCACUUUUUCAUGAAAAAAAAGUCUUGUAUUCCUGUCUGAUGUGCUGAAAGGGAAAUUCUGCCAAAACUCCAGAGCUGAGGGUGUUGUUAAUUCCUCGAGGUGUUCACUGAAACCUGGGAGCUGCUUCUGCUCAGCCUCUGGAGACAAAACAGGGGAGGAAAUUCCUCCCCGCAGGCAGGAAUGGGGGGUGGGAACUGAAACCUGCAGUGCCCUUCCAGAACAUUCCGUGCCGCUUCCAAAUUCAGGGUCUGGACUGCACCACCCCUUCAGCCACCGGUGUUUACUUGGAUGGUCAGGGAGUGCCUUGGCCCGUGCUGGGCUCACCUCUGGGGCUGGAAACCCCUGGAUUGGGCUGGAAUCCCCUGGAUUGGGGGUGGGAAAAUCGGGCUGGAGUCCCCUGGAUUGGUGGGGGUCCCCUGGAUUGGUGGGGAUGCCCUGGAAUGGUGGGGAUGCCCUGGAUUGGUGGAAACCCCUGGAUUGGGGGUGGGAAAAUUGGGCUGGAAACCCCUGGAUUGGUGGGGAUCCCCCUGGACUGGUGGGAAUGCCCUGGAUUGGUGGGAAAUCCCUGGACUGGUGGGGAUCCCCUGGAUUGGGGGGAUCCCCCUGGAUUUUAUCCCGGGGUGCUCCUUGGAGGCUGCGCUGAGUGCCCCAGGUGUGCCACAAAAACAUGGACCUGCCACAGGCAGCAAAGGGAAUUCACUGCUCCAUCCUCGUUUCUGGUUGGGUUAACCCAAAUCCUGAGGGUUUUAUGUUCCAUCCCCAUUUUUGGUUUGGUUAACCCAAAUCCUGAGGGUUUUAUGUUCCAUCCCCAUUUUUGGUUUGGUUAACCCAAAUCCUGAGGGUUUUGUGUUCCAUCCCCAUUUUUGGUUGGGUUAACCCAAAUCCUGAGGGUUUUACUGCUCCAUCCUCACUUUUGCUUGGGUUGACACAAUUCCUGAGGGUUUUGCUGUUCCAUCCCCAUUUUUGGUUGGGUUAACCCAAAUCCUGAUGGUUUUGUGUUCCAUUCCCAUUUUUGGUUGGGUUAUCCCAAUUCCUGAGGGUUUUUGCUGUCUCCUCUUGGGUGAGCUGUUUGUCCUGACCCUUUCCCAGCCCUGGGGUCCUCCGUGUGUCCCUCCUGAAGCCCCCCAAUGUCCGUGUGGGCAUCUCAGGUGUCACCUCGUGCUUGCCAGGACUCCUGGAGCACCAGGCCCAGCCCUUUGGGGUUUCUGUCGUGUUCUUGCAGUGCCUUGUAAAUCCCAACAAUCCCGUGGCCCCGAGGGGCUGCGGGGUCCCAGCUUGUACUGCCAGACUGGACUUUGUAACUGAGGAUUUGAACCCCUGUUUCAAAGGAAAUAAAGAGUUGAACUCUG